CCAACGGGAGGCUGCAGUUGGGACUAUUGCGCAAUGGGCGAAAGCCUGACGCCGCGACGCCGCGUGAGGGAUGAAGGUCUUCGGAUCGUACACCUCUGUCAGCAGGGAAGAACGGUCACUGUGCUAAUCAGCAGUGAAUUGACGGUAACUGCAAAGGAAGCACCGGCUAACUCCGUGCCAGCAGCCGCGGUAAUGCGGAGGGUGCGAGCGUUAAACGGAAUUACUGGGCGGAAAGCGCUUGUAGGCGGUAUGUCAAGUCAAGGGUGAAAUCCCCGCGCUCAACGUGGGAACGGCCUUUGAAACUGUCAAACUGGAGUGUGUGAGAGGAUAGUGGAAUUCCAGGUG
Molecule: ribosomal RNA, 345 nt
Filed under: uncultured bacterium
Lineage: Bacteria
Description: partial 16S ribosomal RNA
Rfam family: Bacterial small subunit ribosomal RNA
Source: RNAcentral